This 494-nucleotide ribosomal RNA is filed under the name uncultured bacterium. Its description in RNAcentral is "partial 16S ribosomal RNA". It matches the Rfam family "Bacterial small subunit ribosomal RNA", at positions 28 to 507 of the family's 1533-position model. The record is from RNAcentral.
GACGAACGCUGGCGGCGUGCUUAACACAUGCAAGUCGAACGGUGAAGCGCCUUCCUUUUUGGUGGGUGUGGAGGAGUGGCGAACGGUUGAGUAACACGUGAGUAACCUGCCCCCUUCUUCUGGAUAACCGCAUGAAAGUGUGGCUAAUACGGGAUAUUCUGGGUCUGUCGCAUGAUGGUUCUGGGGAAGAUGUUGUUUCGGUGGGGGAUGGUCGCCCGGCGGAUCAGCUUGUUGGUGGGGUGAUGGGCUACCAAGGCGGUGAGGGGUAGCCGGGCUGAGAGGAUGGAGGGCCACAACGGGACUGCGGCACGGCGCGGAAUACUACGGGGGGCAGCAGUGGUGAAGAAUGUACAAUGAGCGCUGGCAUGAUGCAGCGGCGACGCGGGGGGGAGGGAGGCGUGCGUGUGGUGCGCAUCUUUCGCCAGCGAAGGAGGCCUGCAUCGUUGGUGGGUGGAUUGACGGUAGCUGGAGAAGAAGCCACGGCUAACUACGUG